Molecule: ribosomal RNA, 159 nt
Filed under: Alpheus heeia
Lineage: Eukaryota; Metazoa; Arthropoda; Malacostraca; Decapoda; Alpheidae
Description: partial 16S ribosomal RNA
Source: RNAcentral
ACUUGAUGGUUAGUUUCGGCUUUACGAUUUUAGAGUAAUGGGGNGUAGGAGCGUGCUAUUGNUGCUGGGGCGGCAAGAAUAAAAUUUGUAACUGUUCUUUUAUGUAAAAUGNGUUGUCUUUAGAGUUUGAGCCUGAAUUUUAGGUUAAAAGAUUAAGUU